Long non-coding RNA from Entelurus aequoreus (snake pipefish), 1167 nucleotides. RefSeq lists it as uncharacterized. The record is from RefSeq and is a predicted model, not a curated record. The transcript is spliced from 4 exons. Lineage: Eukaryota; Metazoa; Chordata; Actinopteri; Syngnathiformes; Syngnathidae.
UUAUACUCCGGAGCGAUUUAUAAUCCGAAAAAUACGGUACAAUACUCGGAUUACUUUUUUCGCCUGGCUUAAGACGGUUUGAGUUGCACAUAAGAAGAAGAAGCCGAAGCCGGUGUGAGUGACGUCAAACAAUUUGUGACCAGUUCCCUCUCAAAAUGGCAGGGCAAAAAAGCACAGCAAAAUGAAAAUCUGAAGAAGAGCACAGGACAUUUUUAACAGAGUGGGAGAGUUCAUAUAUAUAUUUUUUUAAACGUAAUGGCAAGCCCUUCUGCCUUAUAUGUCAGGCGUCAUUAGUGCAUUUCAAAGCUUCAAAUCUUCAGCGUCACUUCAGCUCAACGGAAUACAAGCCAGAUUUGAAGAGGAUUGUCCACGACAAGGAAUGCCAGAAGUCCCACUAAGCAACAUGCAUAGGAUGGGGUGAUGUUCAUGUGUGCCCAUGUGUAGGAUGUGGCUCUUUGCAGUAACACAGUAAAAAUAAGUGGCUCUUAGUCUCUGACUGGUUGGCCACCCCUGAUCUAAUGUGUCAGGGCGAAGACAUUGCCGCACACCGAGAUCUCCCUCCAGACGCCUGGAGCCGGCUCAGACACAAACUCGCCCGCCGGAUGCAUCACCAGCACCCCGUUGGUGGUCAGGCCGUCCAUCAGGCCGUCUGACGUCCUCCACUUGGCGGCGCGCUCCUUGGAAAAAAAGAGGAGGCGGACUUGAAGUGCCCUUGGCAGUUCUGGGCGGAGACUCUCUCCCACACCUGCGGGCAGUUAGCAAUUAGUCCUUUUUAAGCCCUGCUGAGUGUCACAGCAUUGCCAGUUAUUGCCAGCUCCAAGGACAUUUCCUAUCGCUUGGCUCUCUUGUGAUUAUCGCUCCGCCUCCCGCUGGCUCCACGCACACUUGCCUUACUUGGCUUGUGUAGUGUAUUCUCCACUCCUUUUGAGUGUUUCUUUUGUUUAUUUUCUACUCCAUGGGUUAAAUCUACGAAAAGGGGUAGGAUUCAAUAAGCUCUGCUUCCUCCUACUCCUUUUUGGACAAGCUAUAAUGAAACAACUGGAAAUAUGUGAUGUAUUACAUUGUAAUAGUAUGUAUGUUCGAAAUAAACUGACACACACCAACUCUCCUUGUGUUUGUUUUUUCACCACUCUUGAGCGCACUUUUUGUAAUUAAACAUGAUUGUUU